Mesocricetus auratus (golden hamster) is the source of this 3499-nucleotide long non-coding RNA. RefSeq lists it as uncharacterized. The record is from RefSeq and is a predicted model, not a curated record. Lineage: Eukaryota; Metazoa; Chordata; Mammalia; Rodentia; Cricetidae. The transcript has 3 exons.
UAAUGUCUCUCUCAUCCAGACGGGUUCCUGAGUACUGUACAGGUUGUGCUAAGGAACCAUCGCAAGUUAAAACAAUCCACUGUACCCAUCAGGACUCAAUAGCUCCUGCGUAGACCCAGAAGCCCCUCAAUCCUCCCUGUAUCUGGAUCAACUUCUGCCAGGUGCUUCUCCCAGGGACCUGCCACAGCACUUGCCUGCCAUCCCCAGGAUUAACUAUUUCAGCCAACCUCAGAGUGCGGAGUGAGGAGGAUGCAGAGGCCCUGGCCAUUUAGAGACUGGAACGAAUACAUGAAGAUAUGGAAAUCUAGCAGUUGGCUCCACAUAAUGGGACCCUUUCAUGCUUUCUCCAGAGGCUUCUAUUCAUGCAUCAUGAUGCCAAGUUCUGGCAAAUAAGCCAAGUUGGAUUAAGUUACAGCCAAGUAUGUUGACUUUACCCAUUCAAUUUAUUCUUGGCAACCUUCAGAGAGUAUUUAUAAUAAAGUCCCAUUUCGAACAUUCGAGGGCCCCGGCGGAGUUCUAAUAACACUGGGUAUUUAUUUAAUGUCUAACUGUAAGAGUUCAAAGCACUUUAUAGGCAUUCCUUGACUGAUCUUAACAUCCCUGCAAGAUUUUACAGCUUGGACAAGUCAAUCGAGGCCCUGAGACCUGCCUGGGAUCACCCAGGAAGACCAUGCUACUCCCUAAAUUAAUCACGCUGCCAACAUGCGGAGGCUCCUGUACCUUAGCCGGCGACUGCAUUCUCCAGCCCUUAUCUCAGCGUCGCCGAGUGGAGACUAUUUGUUUAUUUCUCCAUGGAGAUCUUUAAUUAAGGAAAGCAGAAAGCACCACAAACACUUCUGUCUGCGUGUCACUGCAGUAAUUGGGCAAAGUAUCUUUUAAAUAUUUUGAUUCUUUAGUGAUGAAGUUAACAAUUCUGGUUGUUAGAGGGGAGAAGGCUCGGGAGUGUGUCCCAUUUGGAUGAUGCUACGAGACACAUCUUUCUGUGGCUUCCAGAGUGGAUGUCAGCUGACACUGGUGGUGGCCUGUGGGGCUGUAGGCAAUGGCAUCAUCAAAGGAAGACAUGACCAUGGCUCCUUCAACUGCUUCUGGGACACUGAUCUGACCAUCGCUGUCAUGUCACUGUCUGCAUGGACUCUGACUAUAGGACACUGAUUUAACAUUUAAUGGGCACCGCUGACGUUUGGUGAGUGGCACUUCAGUUGUACUCUCCGAGGCUCUGGUGACAGCGAGGAGGCCCUGUUGGCUUGAGGAUAUGAAAAGGAGGAGACAGGCUCAGCAGGCACAGACUUCCACCUGCUCACUCACAAGAUUUCCCGUCUCUGUUAUGGAGAGAAGUGCCCCUUUAUGCCUCUGACUGUGUCCUGGAGUACGAUGGAAGGCCAUUUACAAGACUUCGGAUGAUCAUAGAGUCAGUGUCGACCCCAACUGCCCCACGGAGCUUUUGGGGGAGCCCAUAAAAGAAAAGGCACUUGCCCCUACCACCUGUUUAUUUUAUAGCCCAUAUAUGGUCUGAAAAUCCUCCUAAGACUCUUUGUAGGGGUCAAGGGUUAAGUCUCCCUGCCAUUGCCCAUGCCCCCCCCCCGUCUCCAUUCCUGGGGAGUUGAAUGUUAAGCACAGAGGAGUGGAGUCAGCACUAUGCAGGGUUGAGCAGCACCCAGGGUAUCAACAGACCCUGGAGCUAGACUGCGUUUGACUGUGGGGUCUAUGUGGCUGUGUGGGUGGGGUGAGUCUCCCAAUUAUAUGUCUUAGUUUCCUCAUCUGUAACAUAGGAUUAAGGCUAGCAGUAGCUGAUUAAUGAAGCAGAUGGACCAAUGUCCACUGAACUCUAAAGACUGGUCCUAGCACAUGAUUUGUGUUUACAGAUUAUUAUUAUGACACCCGAGUCUCCUUUUUUAGAAACAAGUAGGAAGAUUACCAGUAAGAUACCAGUGUCUGUAGGCAGGCAGAUAUUAAUAGCCCCGAGGACAGAGACAGAGCACAGGACGCUGGGUCAUUGGGAAUGUCAGCAAGGUGCUGUGCAGGGACAAUCUGACACCACAAUCAUCCUCGGGGAUGACUGGGGGUGGCAGGUAUCAGAGGGAAGUGUUUUGGGGAACUUUUUGACACCCACGCCUGGGAAGGCUGCCCUCCAGAUAAUUGUGGACCAUGCUGGUGGAGAUGUUCCCUCUCCUGGCACGGCAGACUGCCUGGGACAGGACAGACUGUUUGCCAGGGGAAGGGCUUAGAAGUCCUGAAGAUGUGGCUCUUGAUUGAGGGACCCUUGUAACAUCUUCAGAGUCUGGUGUCCCAGAACUUUGGGCCGACAUCUCUCUCAGUGGGGAGAGUGCCUUCCUAACAUGGCAGUGGUGCUUAGAGGUCCCAGCUUGAGCCCUACUGAGUGCUGGGGUGUGUCAUGGCCCUACAGUCCACUUGAUGAGCAUGCAUGGCACUCGUGAGAAGCUUUACACAUUUAAGAAGUCAGCAGAGACCAAGCGAUGGGCUGAGAGCCCGUGUACACUUUGCAAGCCAGACAGUCUGGAUCCAUAUGUACCUCUACAGCUGAAAGUGAGGAUGAUCCCGGGAAGGUGGCCUCCGAUGUUUCUAGCCAGCUAGAAUCCCAUACACAUUCAAAACCAGCUCACUUUCCCAGAAUGGAUGCCGCAGCAGAAGCGGGUGAAUUUGCAUCACAACCCUCACCUUGCACACUAGUGUGUGUGUGGGAACUGCAGGGCCAGGAAGGACAUGGGGACAGCCUUUUAUUUUCUGCUUUCCAGACUCUGCACAGUGGAGAGUGACCUAUGAGGCACAGGAGGACAACAUCAGCAAAAACGACAGGCUUGUAACAAACCAAACAGAGAGAUGCAGCCUGGAGAGUUUAACAUGCAGUCAGGAAAAGUGAAAGGCAGGCCGGAGUGAGACUUUACUGGUCUUGCAGAGGGCCUGAGUUCAUUUCCAAGCACCUAAGUCAAGCACUUCACGACUGCCUGUAUCUCCAGCUCUAGGGAUUCCAGCACCCUCUUCUGGACUCUGAGGGCACAUGAGCUCACAUGCUUGCACACACACAGAGUUAAAAGUAAGCAAGUACCGGUUAAUUUCAGAAAAUAAAGUCAAACGAAUUUUAGGUCGUUUAGGAUGGAGUGAAAAAUAUUGGGAAAGCAUAGCGCUUAUGGUUGAGAGGUAGUGGCGUCCUCUUUGCUCCUGUGGAAGAAUAUCUUCCAGGUGGCAGGAUAGAGUCGUGGUCUGCCUUGAUUUUCAAGUCCAAACCCAAUAGCAGUUGCCAGACUCUCUGGGUUGACAUUAAUGUAAAGAGACAUGCCAGAAAUAAAUAGUGGUGGGGGAUAAUUCCUCAGCUUUUAAGAGAUAAAAAAAUCAGUAAGGAGAAUUCUGAAUAAUUAAAUUACAGCCAAGAGUCCACUCAGUCUACAAAGGAGGGUCCAACAUAUAACUUUGCCUGGAACAUUUGCAAAACCUGACUGUGUGCUGAGCUACUUAAAAAUCUCAAUAAAUUCCUAAGAGCAAA